UGGAGGGCAAGUCUGGUGCCAGCAGCCGCGGUAAUUCCAGCUCCAAUAGCGUAUAUUAAAGUUGUUGCAGUUAAAAAGCUCGUAGUUGAAUUUCGGGAUUUGUCAGUUGGUCGGGCUUAACUGUCCGUAUUGACUCGAUGGAUUCUUACCUUCUGAAUAACCAGCAUGCUAUUAAUUUAGUGCGUUGGGGAAGCAGAUCUAUUACCUUGAAAAAAUUAGAGUGCUUAAAGCGAGCUAGUGCUUGAAUAGAUUAGCAUGGAAUAAUAAAAUAGGACGGCAUGGUUCUAUUUUGUUGGUUUCUAGGAUCACCGUAAUGAUUAAUAGGGAUAGUUGGGGGCAUUAGUAUUCAAUUGUCAGAGGUGAAAUUCUUGGAUUUAUUGAAGACUAACUUCUGCGAAAGCAUUUGCCAAGGAUGUUUUCAUUAAUCAAGAACGAAAGUUAGGGGAUCGAAGACGAUCAGAUACCGUCGUAGUCUUAACCAUAAACUAUGCCGACUAGGAAUCGGACGAUGUUAAUUUUAUAAUGACUCGUUCGGCACCUUACGGGAAAC
RNAcentral lists this ribosomal RNA (550 nucleotides) under uncultured Glomus. Its description in RNAcentral is "SSU rRNA". It matches the Rfam family "Eukaryotic small subunit ribosomal RNA", at positions 549 to 1098 of the family's 1831-position model. The record is from RNAcentral. Lineage: Eukaryota; Fungi; Glomeromycota; Glomeromycetes; Glomerales; Glomeraceae.